Molecule: long non-coding RNA, 1542 nt
Organism: Cyprinus carpio (common carp)
Lineage: Eukaryota; Metazoa; Chordata; Actinopteri; Cypriniformes; Cyprinidae
Exons: 2
Source: RefSeq, a predicted model, not a curated record
AGCUCUUCCUCUCGCUCUCGAACGCAGACGCCUGAUCGGAGGAGCGCUGGCGUUCGUAAGCGAGCUCCGCCUUCAGACGAUCGUUCUGCUGCUCUGAGGCUGUCAGCUCCUCGCUGUCGUCGGUGCGCAGACACUGGAACCAGUCUCGGAGGUCCGUCCGCACAAGUCGAACCCACAAACAGAUGAUUAUCGUUCCCGUCUCUUAUCAAGUCCUCGUGUGAAUAUGAGCGAGUGGCUCUGCCGGCGGCGUUCCUCCUCUUGCUGGACGGAGUCUGACUUCCCUGUGAGGUUUCGGACAGCAGGCGUCCGGAGCCCGGCGUGCCCUUGCGGAAUUUGGUGCUGACCUCUAUGUUAGCGCGGUCAGGAUAAGUGACGUGACUCUGCAUCAUGCUGCUGACGGCACCCAUCGCUCCCAUCAGAGGAGGCGAGGCGGGGUGGAGACGCGGGUCCAGGCCUGCUCCCGGAUGGUCAGUGGACACGGGCAGAGACUGGACCAGCGCCAUGACCGAUGACACGUGACCUCAGAAAACCUGCACGGAGAAGAAGAGAAACCAUGACCAUCGUAACGGAGGAGGAGUGUGAGGUAAAGGCGGUGGACACCAGGGUUCACUGAGGGACAACAACACCGAGCCAAGGGCCACCGAUCAUGUUAGGACCAAAAUGUUUGCAUGUUGUUUAUGUUAUUGUUGUUAAAAGAGUCACAAAAUAAAUAUUCAGAUUUUUCUCCCUAGUAGUCUGUUUUAUUCUAACAAUUAUACACAUUUUUGUAUUCAAAUAGAGAAAACUAAAGAACUUUGCCUGUUAAAUAUCAAAACAAAUUAACAAACAAAAAAUCUGGAACUUCAUGAUCUGCUCAUCUGGAUCUCUUCUCUACACUUUUCCUAAAUGCAGAUUCAGUUAUUAGAUCUGUCAGCAUUAAUAUUUUUAUACUUUGUAUUUUUUUUUGAGGGGUCCAAACUGUAACACUGUGUCCCAACCAGAUGUGAUAAAAUGUAUCUUUCGCCAUGUAGUUUUUGUCAGUGUUGAGGUUAAUGCAUUACAAGUAACUCCAGUUACAUAAUCAUAAGUACUUUUUUUGUUCAAGUAACUAGUAAAGUAACGCAUUACUUUUUCAUUUACAAGAAUAUUUCAGAGUUACUUUUUCAAAUAAGUAACGCCAGUUACUUUGUUUUCCUAUUUAUUCACUGACCGCUCUUCUGUGCUCAUGUUGUGAAAAGUCAGGAGUAAGUACAGAGGCAUUCAAUGUGUGCCCUGAGUAUGGUAAGUUCUAUGUGAGCAUGCAUUAAUUCAUCUCACUUCGACAAAAACAGAUUCAGUAAACCUCCAAAUGAAUAAAGAACAGUGAAAUGCAAACUCUGAAUAUGACGCAAAUCUGCAAUACUUAAAUGGUUAAUAACACAAAUAUCUUUUAUGUAUUUAACCCCAUUUUAUUAAACAAUGUCUUUGCUGCUGAGCUUCGAUUAUCAAAUGCAUUCAUACUAAUAAGCAAAAAUUACUUUAGAUAAACUAACAUUUGUGCUAAUAAAAAAAAUUAUUGCUGAA